RNAcentral lists this ribosomal RNA (253 nucleotides) under uncultured bacterium. Its description in RNAcentral is "partial 16S ribosomal RNA". It matches the Rfam family "Bacterial small subunit ribosomal RNA", at positions 524 to 776 of the family's 1533-position model. The record is from RNAcentral.
UACGUAGGGUGCGAGCGUUAAUCGGAAUUACUGGGCGUAAAGCGUGCGCAGGCGGUUCGUUAUGUCCGUUGUGAAAGCCCCGGGCUCAACCUGGGAAUGGCAAUGGAAACUGGCGAGCUAGAGUGUGGCAGAGGGGGGUGGAAUUCCGCGUGUAGCAGUGAAAUGCGUAGAGAUGCGGAGGAACACCGAUGGCGAAGGCAGCCCCCUGGGCUAACACUGACGCUCAGGCACGAAAGCGUGGGGAGCAAACAGG